UAAGGCUUGACAUACACCGGAAAGCAUCAGAGAUGGUGCCCCCUUGUGGUCGGUGUACAGGUGGUGCAUGGCUGUCGUCAGCUCGUGUCGUGAGAUGUUGGGUUAAGUCCCGNAACGAGCGCAACCCUUGUCCCGUGUUGCCAGCAACUCUUCGGAGGUUGGGGACUCACGGGAGACCGCCGGGGUCAACUCGGAGGAAGGUGGGGACGACGUCAAGUCAUCAUGCCCCUUAUGUCUUGGGCUGCACACGUGCUACAAUGGCCGGUACAAUGAGCUGCGAUACCGCAAGGUGGAGCGAAUCUCAAAAAGCCGGUCUCAGUUCGGAUUGGGGUCUGCAACUCGACCCCAUGAAGUCGGGGUCGCUAGUAAUCGCAGAUCAGCAUUGCUGCGGUGAAUACGUUCCCGGGCCUUGUACACACCGCCCGUCACGUCACGAAAGUCGGUAACACCCGAAGCCGGUGGCCCAACCCCUUGUGGGAGGGAGCUGUCGAAGGUGGGACUGGCGAUUGGGACGAAGUCGUAACAAGGUAAGCGUAGCGAG
RNAcentral lists this ribosomal RNA (541 nucleotides) under uncultured bacterium. RNAcentral's name for it is "bacterial SSU rRNA". It matches the Rfam family "Bacterial small subunit ribosomal RNA", at positions 975 to 1509 of the family's 1533-position model. The record is from RNAcentral.